UACAGAGGGGGGCAAGCGUUGUUCGGAAUUACUGGGCGUAAAGGGCGCGUAGGCGGCCUGUUAAGUCGAACGUGAAAUCCCCGGGCUCAACCCGGGAACUGCGUCCGAUACUGGCAGGCUUGAAUCCGGGAGAGGGAUGCGGAAUUCCAGGUGUAGCGGUGAAAUGCGUAGAUAUCUGGAGGAACACCGGUGGCGAAGGCGCAUCCUGGACCGGCAUUGACGCUGAGGCGCGAAAGCCAGGGGGAGCAAAACGGGG
Molecule: ribosomal RNA, 256 nt
Filed under: uncultured bacterium
Lineage: Bacteria
Description: partial 16S ribosomal RNA
Rfam family: Bacterial small subunit ribosomal RNA
Source: RNAcentral